This 419-nucleotide ribosomal RNA is filed under the name Anopheles plumbeus. Its description in RNAcentral is "partial large subunit ribosomal RNA". It matches the Rfam family "Eukaryotic large subunit ribosomal RNA", at positions 2490 to 2689 of the family's 3401-position model. Lineage: Eukaryota; Metazoa; Arthropoda; Insecta; Diptera; Culicidae. The record is from RNAcentral.
UGAGAUACCACCACUCUUACUGUUGCCUUACUUACAUGAUUGGGUGGAACAAGUGCGGGACGUGUCUCUUGGUUCCGACGUGCGCGCUCCCCCCGGCCUCGGUCGGUGGCGGUUGUCGUUGCCGUCGAGCCGGACCGACCCAAUGCACCGUGUUUCUAGUUCAACGUUCAGCUACGUCGUCGCAUGGCCCUGGCACGCACGUGGAGCGGUGGCAACAAUGCGGCCGGUUGCGGUGGAAACGCCGCGCCGGAUGCAGUACGCCCCGUACCGCUUAACCGGGCGGCCCGCGACACCAAAGACAUCUGGACAGAUCUUUAUAUCCAAGUCAUGGACAUUGCCAGGUGCGGAGUUUGACUGGGGCGGUACAUCUCCAAAACGAUAACGGAGGUGUCCAAAGGUCAGCUCAGUGUGGACAGAAA